AUUGCGCAUCUCGGGGAUGAUGCACCACGUCUUACAUCCGGGGACGAUAAGUUGGUAUCACUCUCGCGCAUGUGCAGUUCAUUCGAGUUUAUUGUUAGAUAUACAAAUAGUUAUCGUAUGUGUUGCUGCAGCGUUUAAAUACGUUUACGACUUGAUCUUUUGAUAAUUAAAAGAUAACAUGGAUGAUGACCGCAACGUGGUCAAAGAGACAUUCCAGGAACCGCGGAAAAGGUUCUGGCUGAUGUUUCAGUAUUCAACCAAAUAUGUCAGAUUUGUCCAUCAUGGAGAAAGAGCCAAAUAUCACAACAUUACGUAAAAAAAUGCUACUGAGAGCUGUACCAACUUAACAAUCAAGAGCUGGAUGUUGAACAUUGGACUCAAUCACUCGGUGGCAAAGAACCCUUGAACAGUGUAUUAAAUAAAAACGAAUCUUUUGAUGAACUUUAAGAAAAGAUAAUAAAAUCUUUUUGUGACGAGAAUGAACGAAUAUCUCUUCAAGAAAGUUACGUUUUGAGUCAAAUUGCAUGCGCCGGUCUCACACAUUUGUAAUUUAUAUCAACAACAUCGAUCGUGACUAGGCGCACGUUGAAUCUUCCGUUCGCGUCAUCUUCUGUCACGCAAACUGUAAAAUAAUGAAUGUGCAAUAAAAAAUAUCGUAA
Molecule: long non-coding RNA, 659 nt
Organism: Pseudomyrmex gracilis
Lineage: Eukaryota; Metazoa; Arthropoda; Insecta; Hymenoptera; Formicidae
Exons: 3
Source: RefSeq, a predicted model, not a curated record